Molecule: long non-coding RNA, 435 nt
Organism: Ochotona curzoniae (black-lipped pika)
Lineage: Eukaryota; Metazoa; Chordata; Mammalia; Lagomorpha; Ochotonidae
Exons: 2
Source: RefSeq, a predicted model, not a curated record
AGCCAAUGACUGAUUGCUGGGCCUCGUGCAGAGAGUCAGGCAUGAAGUUAAGGAUGUGGGGUUUCUUUUUGGAGUGGUGACGUACUCCGGAACUGGUGAUACUGGUUGUACAUGUUGUGCGUGUAGUCAGUUUCAGUAAAUGGCCAAUUUGAAACUGCUGAGAUUUUAUUUAAGAGGCAGACAGCCAGGAGAGUGUUCACAUUUGCUGGUUCCUUCCCAGAUGCUCCCGGUGGCCUGCCGAGCUGGGCCAAGGCUAAAGCUAGGCCUUGGGAAUGCAAUCCAGCUCUCCCGUGGAGGUGGUUGGAACGAUCAAGGCCUAGAUUGGAACGAAUGCGCUUUUGCCAGGUUCUUGCCUGCUAGAGAAGCAGCCUAGGAAUAGGUCCAACUACAGACAAGGGGUCAAGUCAAGUGCUACUGGUUGGUUGUGUGACCUUA